AUACGGAGGGUCCGAGCGUUAUCCGGAAUCAUUGGGUUUAAAGGGUCCGUAGGCGGGAAUCUAAGUCAGUGGUGAAAUCUUGCGGCUCAACUGUAAAAUUGCCAUUGAUACUGGAUUUCUUGAAUUAGUGUGAAGUGGUUAGAAUGUGUAGUGUAGCGGUGAAAUGCAUAGAUAUUACACAGAAUACCAAUUGCGAAGGCAGAUCACUAACACUAUAUUGACGCUAAGGGACGAAAGCGUGGGGAGCGAACAGGAUUAGAAACCCUAGUAGUCC
This 274-nucleotide ribosomal RNA is filed under the name uncultured bacterium. RNAcentral describes it as "partial 16S ribosomal RNA". It matches the Rfam family "Bacterial small subunit ribosomal RNA", at positions 523 to 796 of the family's 1533-position model. The record is from RNAcentral.